GAUUAAGCCAUGCAUGUGUAAGUAUAAAUAAUUCUACUUUGAAACUGCGAAUGGCUCAUUAUAUCAGUUAUAGUUUAUUAGAAAAAAUGUACUACUUGGAUAACCGUAGUAAUUCUAGGGCUAAUACAUGAAUGAAUCCUCGACUUUGAAGAGGUGUGUUUAUUAGUAUGAAAACCAUAUGCUUUGGCAUGAUAGUGAGUAAUAAUAACCUUUCGUAUCGCAUGUUGAAAUAGCGAUAGUUCUUUCAAGUUUCUGCCCUAUCAGCUUUCGAUGGUAGUGUAUUGGACUACCAUG
This 294-nucleotide ribosomal RNA is filed under the name Blastocystis sp. RNAcentral's name for it is "partial small subunit ribosomal RNA". It matches the Rfam family "Eukaryotic small subunit ribosomal RNA", at positions 42 to 348 of the family's 1831-position model. Lineage: Eukaryota; Bigyra; Opalinata; Blastocystidae. The record is from RNAcentral.